This is an RNA transcript of Dreissena polymorpha, 4709 nucleotides long. RefSeq lists it as uncharacterized. NCBI's taxonomy places the organism in Eukaryota, Metazoa, Mollusca, Bivalvia, Myida, Dreissenidae. The record is from RefSeq and is a predicted model, not a curated record. The transcript is spliced from 3 exons.
CAAAAAGCCGUGCAAGGUAGGUUUUUUUCCAAUGUCGUCAGUUGUCAAAACGAAAGUACGGUUGAUAUUCACAAGCAUUAUAUUUCUCUUUCCGGGAUAUUUGUUCAAUAUGUUGAUGCUGCAUUAACGAAUAUACGUGUAUAUGAAGUGAAAACACCAAAAAAAAACAACGGUUGCGAUAGACACAUAUAAACUAUUAGAUGCACAUACUAUCACUUAAACAUUAGUUCAUUUUAGUUGUUGCAGAAUUUAUAUAUGCCUUGCAUUAAUUUAUGACUUCAAUCUUAACUUGUUAUAUCUAAUUUAAAUCUAAAUUAGCAUAACUUAUAUUGUUUCACAUGUUUUCAUUAAAUUAAACGCUUGCAUUUAUUCGGCUACUGCCGUUUGCAUAUUUUUGCUACUGACGGUUGCCAUUCCUAAACGUACUACUGACGUUUGCCAUAUUUGUUUUCACUCUUUAAACGUUUAUUAAAUAUCUGGUAGAUAUUUUUGUUUGUUUAUGCAUAGACAUAUGUACUAUAUGUUCGUCCGGUAAAGCAUAGACAGUUCUUUGAUCGUUAAUUUUCCAGAACACCGACUCUUUGUAAUUUUACUACUGACGUUUGCUUCUUAAAUGGAAAUUUGCGCCGAAGUGUUCUCGAAAACCAGAGCAACACACAAAACGCGUGAUAUACCGAUCGAAAGCUAUAUGCAUGCCAUAUAUUGCAUGCACUAGGUCGUAUGAAAGUCAGAGGAUGAUCAGCAAAGAUAUUGGAAAAAACCUACCUUGCGAAGCUGUUUGUUGUCAUAAAUUGACUACUUACGUUGACUUUUGUGGUCACGUGACAGUUUUUGUUCAUUCACAGUGGUUAUGAUUUGUCAAACUCAAACUUUUAUGUUUAGACUAUAAGCUAUAGCAAAUAGAUAUAUCUCGCAGUCAGGUGCGUUGUACAAAUGCCCGGUUGUGGAACGUUUGCAGACGAAAUAGAUUAGAAAAUAAACAUAGAAUUUUCUUAUUCUUACAAGUUUUGUUCGAAGAUUUUCUUCUAAUAGUUUUUCAAUAACCAUUUUGAGUGAUUUUUUCUAAAAUCCUUUUGAGUGAAGUUACGUUCUUAGAAAAUUAAAAAAAAAUCGUUCCUAGAACAAUUCUGUUAUUGGCAAAGGCAGAUAACGUUUACAAUAGCUAUUAUAUUUAGCAAAAUGUAAUAAAAGUUUGCGUGGUGCGUGGUAGCUCAUCCGCUUAUGGAUCCUGACGACACGGGUUCGAAUGACAGUGAUGUCACUUUUUUUCAACUUUUUGUCUUAUUAUAAAAAUUAGUUAAGUAUAUUUAAAACAUAAACGAUUUUUAGCAAUCAUAUCUAAUGACAUUUGAAAACAUGCCAAAAUAUGUUAACAAUUACCUUAAAAACGUGGAUUGGAACGAGAUUUGGAUUACAUUAUCGUAGUUCCACAACUAGUUGCGUAUGUGCCAUCAUUCCAAUAUAUAUGUUCCUAACAUUUUCUGCUAACUUUUUGCAUACUAAACUAUGUGUUUUUAACAAAGUGAAUUUCGUUGAAUGUGAAAUAACAUACUUUUCCAAUGUAUUCAUUAAUGGGGUUUCAUUUAGUUGUACUUAUUUAUUUAGAUUUUCAUUCUGUCAACUGUGCCUUUAACAUGUGUUACUUCAGCAGAAACGUUCCUUCAUCUUGCCAAUGGACUUUCAACGCCAUCGGCUCUAUCGUUGUAGUAGUGUCACUGUUAGUAUAUUGCCACUAGGUUAUUGAUACGACCCGUACAAUGUUAUAUUGAAUCGUUUGAUGAAACACCGUUCUAUUUUAGUGUUUCAACAGGUGCAUAGAUCCAUUAUGAACAUGGGAGAGAGAACAUUCUACAAAUGGCAAAAGGAGGCAUCGGGCAUACAGAGUCAGAGUCGGAUAGCUUUGACAGACACAUCAGCCUGUACAGUCGUCACUCUCGGGACUAUGUUGAAAGCGUGUCCAAAGAGAUAUGUAGUGUAAUGACCAGGCUGGGGUACGGCGAGGAGAUCAGACGGUGGCGGAUUGAGAAGUACAGGGAGAUGGAUAGGCUGUCGAAUGCACGACGAAGCGAUAUAACUAAAAUCACUGCUGGAAGCAAGGCAGAGGGGCUGACCUGCUUGUUAGAAAGUGACAUUGACGUUUUAUUUGUGCAGAAUGGUGUCCUCUGUGUUGAAUUCGAUUUCGAUCUUCACACCAUACCAGACGACAUAGGCCUGUUUAGGAUGGAUACAUCUGUAUACCCAGGACACUGCAGGCUGCCACAAGAGAGACAGGCGCAUACACGUAUCGAUAUCAUUCACAAUGCUCUGUGGGAUAAUGGAUAUGGAGAAGUUCUAUUAGUAGUAGUUUAUUGCUUAAUGAAUUUUCUUCGGCACUUUCAUUUGAACUUCCAUCCGGAGUGUCCCAACAUAAACGCGCGGGGCCGUCACUACCGCAUACCACUAAUGCGUUAAUACAUAUGGACAGAGUAUUCGCACUACGUUGUUUAUGCCCAAGCGUCCUACAACGAUGGGCUGCCAGACCCCGGCAUUGGCCGUCACCAACCAUAGUUCAAAAAGUCAUUGCAUUAGGAGCCUUUGUAACCCCGGUGGGUUUUAAGGGAAGUGAAACCAGGCACUUGGAGUGGCGGAUUUGUUUUAACACUGGUGAGUCAGAACUCGUGAACAACCUUUGUGACACUCAAACCAAAGUUUAUGUUAUACUCAAAAUGAUCCUCAAAGAUGUACUGAAACCACAAAAUAAAGAAAUUUCAUCUUACAUACUGAAAAACAUAGUUUUAUGGCAAGGCGAACGUAACCCACAGACACAAUUUCAUCCGUGCAGUUUAUUGCACUGGCUGCAUGACGGUCUGACAGAACUAAGGACUGCUAUUGCCAAACAACAUCUGCAGUAUUACAUGAUUCCUGAGCGGAAUUUAAUGGAAGCCUGUGGUAUGACAGAUGUGUUGCAACAUAAAUGGGUAGCAGAUAUCACGGACAUGCUAGAGGAAGGUCCUGGGGUAAUACUUAGAUUGGAGAAGAUACGAAAGGCCAUUAUCGCGUUCACAUGGCCGAUGCAGUGGUUCAGCAAGAAAAGGAUGCAAAUUGAGAUGCUGCGCCUUGAGGAAUCUAUCAGAGCCUUGAAAUGUAGAGAUGCGAACAAGGUGUUGAACGACUCGGAUUUCAUGCUGAAUGCGAUAUGGAUACGCCUUGAAAGAGAAUAUGAAGAGGUGAAAACUCUAAUGCUUUUGGAAGGCAGUUCUGUAAAUGCCCUGGAGGAUAUUCACAGAAAAAUAUUAAUGUAAACAUCAAAUAAAUAAUACUUAAAUUGUAUGUGUACCAAGGCUGAAUUAAUGAUCAAAUAUACAUUAAAUAAAUUCAGUCAGUCAUAAAGCGUCAAAUUGUCGCUUUAUACGAUGUAAUAUUUUUAUUAUAGUAUCUGUUAUGCAAUAUGUUUGGAUGCUUAACUCAUUGGCCCCGUAUUCUCUUAACAGUAUACUUUUAUAUUUUGAAAUGAAUGGUUGUGCCGAAAUCAAUUUAACCCAUUCAGCCCUAGUGUCGUAUAUAUGCGUCCAAAUAAUCAACAGUGGAGUUCCUAGCGUCGUAUAUAUGUGUCCAAUAAUCUACAGUGUGAAUUCCUAGCGUCGUAAAUAUACGACAACUUAGAUGUAGCUCUGAAUGCCUAAUGACUUAAAAAUACGUCUGUUCAUAUUGGCAUUUAAAUAAACAGCUAUUUAUUUGCAGUAAGUUUUUCAACCUAAGAAAAUUCUUGUAACAAAUACUUUCAUAAUUUGGAAAAUGAUUUUGUUUUAUCAUUUCUGGUCAAAACCCUGUGCAAAAAAAGAUAAAAAUAAAUAAAUUAAGUCAUGGUAACUCAUGUUGUUUUUUUUAUAGUUAUUUGUAUUCUAUUUUUGUAUUUUAUUUCAUUCUACAUUUUAAUUAAGUUUUAAUAUAAGCAUAUUAAGAUGUUCUCGUUUAUUUAUUUUUCAUAAAAUUACUUGCAAUUGAAACAUAACUGUGCUUAUUAAUGUUUGUUUUUAUUAUAAGCAAUAUCUUAUUAUUGUUUAUAUGUCAUUUAAUUAUUUAUUUUGUUUUAUUUUAAAAUAAUUUUAAAAGAUUGUUUUUAUUCAUUAUAACAGUUUCUAUUUGUAAAAAGUGUAUACAUAGAUAAUAAUGGUAUUGGAUAAAUUAUUUGGAUAUAAUUCAAUGUUUUUUUAUUUGAUAAGUUAUGCAAGAUUUCUAAAUUUUCAUAUAUUACUACAUUCAUUUUUAAAUUGGAAAUAUAAUAAUAAAACAUCUGUCACAUAAACCGUCAACAAAGUAACAAUACUUAAAAACACUAUAUACCAUUUCACACCACUAAAAGUAACAAUAAUCAGAUAAUCUGUCAGGCAUUCAGAGCUGAUGAGGGUCCUGAUUAGCUAGGGGUAGAUAAGGCUAUUACUGAUAGGGGCUGCCUAGAGAUAAGGCUGUAGUAUGGAAUGAGUUAAGCAUGUGCGACAAAAUAAGUAGAAAUGUUGUAAUUUUGACCCUGACAUGUUGAUGUAUUAGUCCGCUAAAUAGGGACAACCGUUUUUAUUGCUAAUUGUUCGUGCCAAGCACGGGUAAUAUUUGUACAUAAGCAUGUUGUUCGUAUUUAGCAUAUUCAUCUACAUGAUGUUUUGUACAAAAUAAGCAUGUAUUCCGGAACAAGAUUAGUCUAUCUAAAUCUGAAUAAAUAUUUAUUAAAGUAA